AUAUGAGUCUGCAUUUGCCAAAGGUGCCUUAGAAGAAAGGGAAAGAACUGGAACAGGUCAGCAAGUCCCAUGCUAAUGGGACUCAUGUCAAGCUGGGUCAAGUUGGGGUGUAGAUCUCUCAUUGAGAGCUAAAGCAUGGCGCUAAAAUAAGGGAAAGCAGAGACAUAGAAAACAAUCAAAUCUGAAGAAACCAGAGGAUGGAGAUGGAGGCUGUAGAACAAGGUGGGAAUGGAAGCUGGUGGAGAACAAUAAGGUCCUGCUGAGGAUCCCUGGUGCCCAGUAGGGAACACCGUGAGGAGGAGGAUUAAGAAAGGCACCCUUUCCACUGAUUUGCAUCGCCAUUUGUACAUGGAGUUUGGCUACAGCAAAAUCCGUUGCUAUCUCACCAGCUACAAGAAGCAAAGAACGAAUUGCAAUUCAUUUUUGUGCUCUAGGACCCGGUUGAGGGAUUUGGAAACUGCUCAGGAAAACAACUGGAUUCCUAAUAAUCCCUGAACAAUUCUUUUUUUUUUUCUUUUCCUGUGGACAUUAGCCUUUUAAUUUUUCCACAAGGAAUUCUGGGCCAAUUUAACUAAUAAAUAAUAACAGAAUUUUCUAAGUGCAUGGUACUUUUGCUUUAUCUGAUUUCAUGGCUUUCCUGUUCCAUGACAACCCACUGUCUUUUCCCUCACAUGUAUGUUUUAUGAUGGUUUUUUCAGGCAUUUGAAAAAGCUUUAACA
This 719-nucleotide long non-coding RNA is filed under the name Homo sapiens (human). RNAcentral describes it as "HSALNT0362279". Lineage: Eukaryota; Metazoa; Chordata; Mammalia; Primates; Hominidae. The record is from RNAcentral.